RNAcentral lists this ribosomal RNA (1056 nucleotides) under Triticum aestivum (bread wheat). Its description in RNAcentral is "partial small subunit ribosomal RNA". The record is from RNAcentral. Lineage: Eukaryota; Viridiplantae; Streptophyta; Magnoliopsida; Poales; Poaceae.
AUGGCGUCUCUCUACCGAGGCCUGCUGCUGCUACUCAUGGCGCUUCUCCCAUCCGCCCAUGGAGCAGCAGCCAGGGCUAGAAGCAAAAUCUCCGCCGCCUUCAUGUUCGGCGAUUCGACCGUCGACCCCGGCAACAACAACGACCGGCUGACGGAGGCCAAGGCCAACUUCCCGCCGUACGGGCAGGACUUCCCCGGCGGGGUGGCUACCGGGAGGUUCUCCAACGGGAAGGUUCCCGGAGACAUGCUAGUUUCUAGGCUGGGAAUUAAGGAACUAUUGCCACCCUACCUCAGAAAUGAUCUUCCACUAAGUGAGCUACUCACGGGUGUUGUCUUUGCUUCUGGUGGCAGUGGAUACGAUCCUCUAACUUCGAUACCCUCGACUGCUACAUCGAGUACUGGGCAACUUGAACUAUUCCUUGAAUAUAAGGAGCGACUAAGAGCUUUGGUCGGAGAAGAGGAGAUGACACGUGUAAUCUCCAAAGGCAUAUACUUCACAGUCAUGGGGGCAAAUGACCUUGCAAAUAACUAUUUUACAAUUCCUUUGAGGCGCCAUCAAUAUGACCUUCCUUCGUACGUGAAAUUUCUUGUCUCUUCUGCUGUCAACUUUACUACGAUAUUAAAUGAGAUGGGUGCAAAGAAGAUUGCAAUCAUCGGCAUUGCACCAAUUGGAUGUUGUCCCUCGCAAAGAGCACUUGGAUCAAGAGAAUGUGAGCCCAUGAGGAAUCAAGCAGCAAAUCUAUUUAAUUCUGAAAUAGAAAAGGAAAUACAACGGCUAGAUGCAGAACAAAAUGUUCGAGGCUCAAAGUUUAUUUAUCUUGAUAUAUACUACAAUCUGCUUGAUCUCAUUCAGCGACCUGGUUUUUAUGGUUUCAAGGAGGUAACCGAAGGAUGUUGUGGUAGCACAGUGCUAAAUGCAGCAAUAUUCAUUAAAAAUCACCCUGCCUGCCCAAAUGCUUAUGAUUUCAUUUUCUGGGACAUCUUUCAUCCUACCGAAAAGGCCUACAACAUUGUGGUUGAUAAAUUGUUUCAGCAAACUAUGCAGUACCUGAUGUGA